GCCUAUUUAGGCGGGUGUACCCGA
This 24-nucleotide non-coding RNA is filed under the name Arabidopsis thaliana (thale cress). The record is from RNAcentral. Lineage: Eukaryota; Viridiplantae; Streptophyta; Magnoliopsida; Brassicales; Brassicaceae.